RNAcentral lists this ribosomal RNA (238 nucleotides) under uncultured bacterium. Its description in RNAcentral is "partial 16S ribosomal RNA". It matches the Rfam family "Bacterial small subunit ribosomal RNA", at positions 15 to 233 of the family's 1533-position model. The record is from RNAcentral.
GAUCAUGGCUCAGGAUGAACGCUGGCGGCGUGCCUAACACAUGCAAGUCGAGCGAAGCGCUUUGCUUAGAUUCUUCGGAUGAAGAGGAUUGUGACUGAGCGGCGACGGGUGAGUAACGCGUGGGUAACCUGCCUCAUACAGGGGGGAUAACAGUUAGAAAUGACUGCUAAUACCGCAUAAGACCACAGCACCGCAUGGUGCGGGGGUAAAAACGUACCGUCGGUGUGAGAUGACCCGG